GAGUACUCUGAACCCAGGGAAAGAUCCUCAUCCGCCCCUGACGAGGAACUGCUCUGGUCAUCAUUCCGGCUCUUCUUGAACAGUGAAUUUCCAGGGAAGCGCAACUGGUACUUGAAUCCGGGUCCCUGCGUCUGUCAGUCCAACAUCUUAGCCAUUCCACUGAGAGGCUUGAACCUCUUGACAAGAUGGAAAUGUGUAUUAUUAUUAAAGGUUGUUCCAAUA
Long non-coding RNA from Oncorhynchus tshawytscha (Chinook salmon), 222 nucleotides. RefSeq lists it as uncharacterized. The record is from RefSeq and is a predicted model, not a curated record. NCBI's taxonomy places the organism in Eukaryota, Metazoa, Chordata, Actinopteri, Salmoniformes, Salmonidae. The transcript has 2 exons.